This 253-nucleotide ribosomal RNA is filed under the name uncultured bacterium. RNAcentral describes it as "partial 16S ribosomal RNA". It matches the Rfam family "Bacterial small subunit ribosomal RNA", at positions 524 to 776 of the family's 1533-position model. The record is from RNAcentral.
GACGGAGGAUGCAAGCGUUAUCCGGAAUUACUGGGCGUAAAGCGUGCGCAGGCGGUUUCGUAAGUCUGUCGUGAAAUCCCCGGGCUUAACCUGGGAAUGGCGAUGGAGACUGCGAGGCUAGAGUUUGGCAGAGGGGGGUAGAAUUCCACGUGUAGCAGUGAAAUGCGUAGAGAUGUGGAGGAACACCGAUGGCGAAGGCAGCCCCCUGGGUCAAGAUUGACGCUCAUGCACGAAAGCGUGGGGAGCAAACAGG